UACAGAGGUCCCAAGCGUUGUUCGGAUUCACUGGGCGUAAAGGGUGCGUAGGCGGUCGGGUAAGUCUGACGUGAAAUCUCCAAGCUCAACUUGGAAAUGGCGUCGGAUACUAUUCGGCUUGAGGAGUGGAGGGGAGACUGGAAUUCUCGGUGUAGCAGUGAAAUGCGUAGAUAUCGAGAGGAACACCAGUGGCGAAGGCGAGUCUCUGGACAGUUCCUGACGCUGAGGCACGAAGGUCAGGGGAGCAAACGGG
RNAcentral lists this ribosomal RNA (253 nucleotides) under uncultured bacterium. RNAcentral's name for it is "partial 16S ribosomal RNA". It matches the Rfam family "Bacterial small subunit ribosomal RNA", at positions 524 to 776 of the family's 1533-position model. The record is from RNAcentral.